Nanorana parkeri is the source of this 160-nucleotide long non-coding RNA. RefSeq lists it as uncharacterized. The transcript is spliced from 3 exons. Lineage: Eukaryota; Metazoa; Chordata; Amphibia; Anura; Dicroglossidae. The record is from RefSeq and is a predicted model, not a curated record.
CAAUAUGUACAAGUUAUCUUCACACGUUGUUAAGCUGGUUAGGCAGAACAGUACAACAUUUUUUCAUACUAUGAAUUGAAGCUAAAGUCCAGGCAAACAGCUAAAUAGACAGUUGAAAUAUGCACAUGUUAACCGUUUACCUGCAAAACGGUUGUGUUUU